RNAcentral lists this ribosomal RNA (392 nucleotides) under Chryseobacterium sp. RNAcentral's name for it is "bacterial SSU rRNA". It matches the Rfam family "Bacterial small subunit ribosomal RNA", at positions 125 to 516 of the family's 1533-position model. Lineage: Bacteria; Pseudomonadati; Bacteroidota; Flavobacteriia; Flavobacteriales; Weeksellaceae. The record is from RNAcentral.
CCUGCCUUUAUCAGGGAGAUAGCCUUUCGAAAGGAAGAUUAAUACCCCAUAAUAUAUUAAGUGGCAUCACUUGAUAUUGAAAACUACGGUGGAUAGAGAUGGGCACGCGCAAGAUUAGAUAGUUGGUGAGGUAACGGCUCACCAAGUCUACGAUCUUUAGGGGGCCUGAGAGGGUGAUCCCCCACACUGGUACUGAGACACGGACCAGACUCCUACGGGAGGCAGCAGUGAGGAAUAUUGGACAAUGGGUGAAAGCCUGAUCCAGCCAUCCCGCGUGAAGGACGACGGCCCUAUGGGUUGUAAACUUCUUUUGUAUAGGGAUAAACCUAGAUACGUGUAUCUAGCUGAAGGUACUAUACGAAUAAGCACCGGCUAACUCCGUGCCAGCAGCC